UUAGAGUUUGAUCCUGGCUCACGACGAACGCUGGCGGCGCGCCUAACACAUGCAAGUCGAACGAGAGAUGAGGAGUUUGCUCUUCAAAUCGAGUGGCGAACGGGUGAGUAACGCGUGAGGAACCUGCCUCAAAGAGGGGGACAACAGUUGGAAACGACUGCUAAUACCGCAUAAGCCCACGGCUCGGCAUCGAGCAGAGGGAAAAGGAGCAAUCCGCUUUGAGAUGGCCUCGCGUCCGAUUAGCUGGUUGGUGAGGUAACGGCCCACCAAGGCGACGAUCGGUAGCCGGACUGAGAGGUUGAACGGCCACAUUGGGACUGAGACACGGCCCAGACUCCUACGGGAGGCAGCAGUGGGGAAUAUUGCACAAUGGGGGAAACCCUGAUGCAGCGACGCCGCGUGGAGGAAGAAGGUCUUCGGAUUGUAAACUCCUGUUGUUGAGGAAGAUAAUGACGGUACUCAACAAGGAAGUGACGGCUAACUACGUGCCAGCAGCCGCGGUAAAACGUAGGUCACAAGCGUUGUCCGGAAUUACUGGGUGUAAAGGGAGCGCAGGCGGGAGAACAAGUUGGAAGUGAAAUCCAUGGGCUCAACCCAUGAACUGCUUUCAAAACUGUUUUUCUUGAGUAGUGCAGAGGUAGGCGGAAUUCCCGGUGUAGCGGUGGAAUGCGUAGAUAUCGGGAGGAACACCAGUGGCGAAGGCGGCCUACUGGGCACCAACUGACGCUGAGGCUCGAAAGUGUGGGUAGCAAACAGGAUUAGAUACCCUGGUAGUCAACACCGUAAACGAUGAUUACUAGGUGUUGGAGGAUUGACCCCUUCAGUGCCGCAGUUAACACAAUAAGUAAUCCACCUGGGGAGUACGACCGCAAGGUUGAAACUCAAAGGAAUUGACGGGGGCCCGCACAAGCAGUGGAGUAUGUGGUUUAAUUCGACGCAACGCGAAGAACCUUACCAAGUCUUGACAUCCCUUGACGAACAUAGAAAUAUGUUUUCUCUUCGGAGCAAGGAGACAGGUGGUGCAUGGUUGUCGUCAGCUCGUGUCGUGAGAUGUUGGGUUAAGUCCCGCAACGAGCGCAACCCUUAUGGUCAGUUACUACGCAAGAGGACUCUGGCCAGACUGCCGUUGACAAAACGGAGGAAGGUGGGGAUGACGUCAAAUCAUCAUGCCCUUUAUGACUUGGGCUACACACGUACUACAAUGGCGUUAAACAAAGAGAAGCAAGACCGCGAGGUGGAGCAAAACUCAGAAACAACGUCCCAGUUCGGACUGCAGGCUGCAACUCGCCUGCACGAAGUCGGAAUUGCUAGUAAUCGUGGAUCAGCAUGCCACGGUGAAUACGUUCNCCGGGCAUUGUACACAGCGCCCGUC
RNAcentral lists this ribosomal RNA (1372 nucleotides) under uncultured bacterium. RNAcentral's name for it is "16S ribosomal RNA". It matches the Rfam family "Bacterial small subunit ribosomal RNA". The record is from RNAcentral.